RNAcentral lists this ribosomal RNA (484 nucleotides) under uncultured bacterium. RNAcentral describes it as "partial 16S ribosomal RNA". It matches the Rfam family "Bacterial small subunit ribosomal RNA", at positions 28 to 523 of the family's 1533-position model. The record is from RNAcentral.
GACGAACGCUGGCGGCGUGCUUAACACAUGCAAGUCGAACGAUGAAGCUGGAGCUUGCUCUAGCGGAUUAGUGGCGAACGGAUGAGUAACACGUGAGUAACCUGCCCUUGACUCUGGGAUAACUGCGGGAAACUGUAGCUAAUACCGGAUACGACCCUCGGCGGCAUCGCCAGGGGGUGGAAAGAAUUUCGGUCAAGGAUGGACUCGCGGCCUUUCAGCUAGUUGGGGAGGUAACGGCUCACCAAGGCGACGACGGGUAGCCGGCCUGAGAGGGUGACCGGCCACACUGGGACUGAGACACGGCCCAGACUCCUACGGGAGGCAGCAGUGGGGAAUAUUGCACAAUGGGCGCAAGCCUGAUGCAGCAACGCCGCGUGAGGGAUGACGGCCUUCGGGUUGUAAACCUCUUUUAGUAGGGAAGAAGCGAAAGUGACGGUACCUGCAGAAAAAGCACCGGCUAACUACGUGCCAGCAGCCGCCGUAA